GAUAAGGUUUGUGUCUCCUGGCUGAGGGUCU
This 31-nucleotide non-coding RNA is filed under the name Mus musculus (house mouse). Lineage: Eukaryota; Metazoa; Chordata; Mammalia; Rodentia; Muridae. The record is from RNAcentral.